Long non-coding RNA from Diprion similis, 261 nucleotides. RefSeq lists it as uncharacterized. The transcript has 3 exons. NCBI's taxonomy places the organism in Eukaryota, Metazoa, Arthropoda, Insecta, Hymenoptera, Diprionidae. The record is from RefSeq and is a predicted model, not a curated record.
UUUACGAUACUAUGUAUGCAUAUAUAAUAUAUUUAUAUAGUGUAUUGUAUUUCAUUUUAUUUUAUUUUCAAAAGCUCCACGGCACGAGCAUAUUUACGCAAUUGAUUAUCGAUCAUAGGUAGGUAUAUAUAUCAUCUAAUUAACGACUGGCGCGGACUUCGUCCCUACCGUCAAUUAGUCACUACUUGCCAAGUACGAUAUGCGUUAGUUACGAUACAUAACUCACCUACGAGUGUCUCUUCUUCGAUUAGAAAUAAGAAG